AACGACAUAGUUUAAGUUGAGAUAGCUGCUCUGCAAGCAGUUGGUGAAUAUGUUUUCUGUCGUUG
Molecule: transfer RNA, 65 nt
Filed under: Cryptocotyle lingua
Lineage: Eukaryota; Metazoa; Platyhelminthes; Trematoda; Opisthorchiida; Heterophyidae
Description: tRNA-Ala
Source: RNAcentral